This 253-nucleotide ribosomal RNA is filed under the name uncultured bacterium. Its description in RNAcentral is "partial 16S ribosomal RNA". It matches the Rfam family "Bacterial small subunit ribosomal RNA", at positions 524 to 776 of the family's 1533-position model. The record is from RNAcentral.
UACGUAGGUGGCAAGCGUUGUCCGGAUUUACUGGGCGUAAAGAGCGCGCAGGCGGUCGUGCAAGUCGCGUGUGAAAGCCCCCGGCUCAACUGGGGAGGGUCACGCGAUACUGCUCGACUCGAAGGCAGGAGAGGGAAGUGGAAUUCCCGGUGUAGUGGUGAAAUGCGUAGAUAUCUGGAGGAACACCGGUGGCGAAGGCGGCAUCCUGGACCGGUAUUGACGCUGAGGCGCGAAAGCCAGGGGAGCAAACGGG